This 294-nucleotide ribosomal RNA is filed under the name uncultured bacterium. RNAcentral describes it as "partial 16S ribosomal RNA". It matches the Rfam family "Bacterial small subunit ribosomal RNA", at positions 335 to 646 of the family's 1533-position model. The record is from RNAcentral.
UACCUACGGGGGGCAGCAGUCGGGAAUAUUGCGCAAUGGAGGAAACUCUGACGCAGUGACGCCGCGUAUAGGAAGAAGGUCUUCGGAUUGUAAACUAUUGUCGUUAGGGAAGAGAAAGGACAGUACCUAAGGAGGAAGCUCCGGCUAACUACGUGCCAGCAGCCGCGGUAAUACGGAGGGUGCAAGCGUUACUCGGAAUCACUGGGCGUAAAGAGUGCGCAGGCGGGCUUGUAAGUCAGAUGUGAAAUCCUGUAGCUUAACUACAGAACUGCAUUUGAAACUAUGAGUCUAUAG